RNAcentral lists this ribosomal RNA (497 nucleotides) under uncultured bacterium. Its description in RNAcentral is "partial 16S ribosomal RNA". It matches the Rfam family "Bacterial small subunit ribosomal RNA", at positions 28 to 507 of the family's 1533-position model. The record is from RNAcentral.
GAUGAACGCUGGCGGCGUGCCUAAUACAUGCAAGUCGAGCGAACAGACGAGGAGCUUGCUCCUCUGACGUUAGCGGCGGACGGGUGAGUAACACGUGGAUAACCUACCUAUAAGACUGGGAUAACUUCGGGAAACCGGAGCUAAUACCGGAUAAUAUAUUGAACCGCAUGGUUCAAUAGUGAAAGACGGUUUUGCUGUCACUUAUAGAUGGAUCCGCGCCGCAUUAGCUAGUUGGUAAGGUAACGGCUUACCAAGGCAACGAUGCGUAGCCGACCUGAGAGGGUGAUCGGCCACACUAGAACUGAGACACGGUCCAGACUCCUACGGGAGGCAGCAGUAGGGAAUCUUCCGCAAUGGGCGAAAGCCUGACGGAGCAACGCCGCGUGAGUGAUGAAGGCCUUCGGAUCGUAAAACUCUGUUAUUAGGGAAGAACAAAUGUGUAAGUAACUAUGCACGUCUUGACGGUACCUAAUCAGAAAGCCACGGCUAACUACGUG